Molecule: long non-coding RNA, 573 nt
Organism: Rhopalosiphum padi (bird cherry-oat aphid)
Lineage: Eukaryota; Metazoa; Arthropoda; Insecta; Hemiptera; Aphididae
Exons: 3
Source: RefSeq, a predicted model, not a curated record
GAAUUUUGUAAUAAAAAUGAAGUGUUUGUCUGUUAGUUUAUGUUUUGAUUGUUUCCAUUUAAAAAAUUAUUCAGUGUUGUCCACGUACUAGUUGUUAUAUAAAAAUUGUUGUCCUCCUUACGGUGUCUAGUAGCGACAUUUUAUCCUCCAACCAUUAUACAUAUUUAACUUACUAUUUUUUUUUUAGAUGGCAGUACAGCAGAUCAUUCAAUACAUGCCGAGACAUGAAUUCACAUUUCUACCACUAUGCUAAAUAUCAAUAUCCUACGUUGAAAAUGUACUAGACGAUACUGCUAAUAACAAGGGUUUUGUGCAACGUGCGUGUAAUGGAUGGCAGUACAGCAGAUCACUCAAUACAUGCUGAGACAUGAAUUCACAUUUCUACCACUAUGCAAAACAUCAACAUCCUACGUUGAAAAUGGACUAGACAGUACUGCUAAUAAUAAUGGUUUUGUGCAACGUGCGUGUAAUGGAUGGCAGUACUGCAGAUCACUGGAGGCAUGCUGAGACAUGAAUUAACAUUUCUAUCACUUGGGAAAGUUACAACAUUUUCCGUUGAAAAUGGAAUAGAAG